Phyllostomus discolor (pale spear-nosed bat) is the source of this 746-nucleotide long non-coding RNA. RefSeq lists it as uncharacterized. The transcript has 2 exons. The record is from RefSeq and is a predicted model, not a curated record. Lineage: Eukaryota; Metazoa; Chordata; Mammalia; Chiroptera; Phyllostomidae.
GGCCCGCGGAGAGGACUGCUGAGCACAAGGGGACUGCGCGCUGCUUAGGGCAUGAGUCCGUUUGCACCGGGUGGCCCACAAGACUUUCGGGGACAUUAGAAUGUGAGAAGAAUGACCUGUGUGAUCUGAGCAUUGGAGAUUUCUGGAGCCACAGUCACAGAGUUUUCGAUUGAGUCUGUUUGCAGUGAAGCCAGCAGAUAGAUAUUUUGACAGUCCUUUUAGGUAAUUUUGAAGCACCUCACCAUCUCUGUUUCCUUCAACAUAAGUCUUUUAUUGUGUUCUUCAUCAGUUCUUCUUUUUCUUUCCCUGGCUAUUUCCAAUACUAAGUUCUUAUACUUGAGUAUUUCUAUUCUAACUUCUAUAAAAUUCACCCAUUUCAUGACUGCAGCCCCUCAAAGACAAGAACAAUGUUAAUCAUCCAUUUAUUCAUGAAUAAUUUUUUUUAUCCUGAUGGAUGUCCUCUCAGCUUGCUAAAGUAAGAAAACAAACAUGUUUAGGAGACAUAGCAUCAAGGUCAUAGUUUAUCUAUCCAUUUAUACAAAGAAGCUUUUAAGCACUUAUUACAUGCCAGGCCUAACAGAACCUGACACAUAAUAGGUCCUUAAAAUAAAAAUAGGCUGAAGAGAAUGAACAAACAAAUGAACUAUUACUGCUCUGAUAAUGAAUUCUGAAUUUAUGUCCACUGCCUUGCUCUUUAUUCUGGUGACUGGGUACUGGGUCAUUUUUUUCUUCCAGAUAGAAAUAUU